GAACGAACGUUGGCGGCGUGGAUUAUGCAUGCAAGUCGAACGAAUCCUCGCGCCGUAGCAGUACGGCGCGGGGGGAAGUGGCGAAAGGGGCAGUAAGGCGUGGGUAACCUACCCCGGGGAUGGGCAUAGCCGUCCUAACGGACGGGUAAUUCCCAGCGAUCCGUCGGAGGGGCAUCCCCCUGACGGGAAAUGAGCUUCGCCUCGGGAGGGACUCACGUGCUAUUAGCUAGUUGGCGGGGUAACGGCCCACCAAGGCAAAGAUGGCUAGCGGGUGUGAGAGCACGACCCGCGCCACUGGCACUGAGACACUGGCCAGACACCUACGGGUGGCUGCAGUCGAGGAUCUUCGUCAAUGGGCGCAAGCCUGAACGAGCGACGCCGCGUGUGCGAUGAAGGCCUUCGGGUUGUAAAGCACUGUCGAGGGGGACCAAGGCCCGCAAGGGCUUGAUCGAUCCCUGGAGGAAGCACGGGCUAAGUUCGUGCCAGCAGCCGCGGUAAGACGAACCGUGCGAACGUUGUUCGGAACCACUGGGCUUAAAGGGCGCGUAAGCGGCUCGCGAGGUCGGGGGUGAAAUCCCGCGGCUUAACCGCGGAAGGGCCUCCGAUACCGGCGGGCUGGAGGAGGGUAGGGGUGCGCGGAACUUCUGGUGGAGCGGUGAAAUGCGUUGAUAUCAAAAGGAACGCCGGCGGCGAAAGCGGCGCACUGGACCCUUUCUGACGCUGAGGCGCGAAAGCCAGGGGAGCAAACGGGAUUAGAUACCCCGGUAGUCCUGGCCCUAAACGAUGGGUACUAGGCCGUGGGCCGGUCAUGGGCUCACAGCAGAAGCAAAAGUGUUAAGUACCCCGCCUGGGGAGUAUGGUCGCAAGGCUGAAACUCAAAGGAAUUGACGGGGGCUCACACAAGCGGUGGAGCAUGUGGCUUAAUUCGAGGCUACGCGAAGAACCUUAUCCUGGGCUUGACAUGUGCGAAAGCGGUCGGGAGUAGGGUGCGGAAACGUUACCCCAACGGUACCCAGUCCGGAACCGACUACAGGUGCUGCAUGGCUGUCGUCAGCUCGUGCCGUGAGGUGUUGGGUUAAGUCCCGUAACGAGCGAAACCCCUGUCCUUAGUUGCCAGCGCGUCAUGGCGGGCACUCUAAGGAGACCGCCGGCGUCAAGCCGGAGGAAGGCGGGGAUGACGUCAAGUCCUCAUGGCCCUUAUGCCCGGGGCUGCACACGUGCUACAAUGGGGCGUCCCAAAGCGAUGCCAGGCCGCAAGGUCGCGCUAAUCGCCCAAACCGCCCCCCAGUUCGGAUUGCGGGCUGCAACCCGCCCGCAUGAAGCCGGAAUCGCUAGUAAUCGCGGAUCAGCAUGCCGCGGUGAAUGGGUUCCUGAGCCUUGUACACACUGCCCGUCAAGCCACCAAAGCGGGGGGCACCAGAAGU
RNAcentral lists this ribosomal RNA (1424 nucleotides) under uncultured bacterium. Its description in RNAcentral is "16S ribosomal RNA". It matches the Rfam family "Bacterial small subunit ribosomal RNA". The record is from RNAcentral.